AUUGAACGCUGGCGGCGUGCUUUACACAUGCAAGUCGAGCGAGGAUAUAUUGUGCUUGCAUAAUAUAUUCUAGCGGCGAACGGGUGAGUAAUACAUCGGAAUCUGUCUAAUAGUGGGGGAUAACUAAUCGAAAGAUUAGCUAAUACCGCAUAAUCUCUGAGGAGGAAAGCUGGGGACCGUAAGGCCGGGCGCUAGUAGAGGAGCUGAUGGACGAUUAGCUAGUUGGUGGGGUAACUGCUUACCAAGGCGAUGGUCGAUAGCUGUACUGAGAGGAAGAUCAGCCACACUGGGACUGAGACACGGCCCAGACUCCUACGGGAGGCAGCAGUGGGGAAUUUUGGACAAUGGGGGCAACCCUGAUCCAGCAACGCCGCGUGAAUGAAGAAGGCCUUCGGGUUGUAAAGUUCUUUUAUCUUAGAGCAAGGUAUAGUAUUGAAUAGGUAUUAUGCUUGAGAGUAUAAGGUGAAUAAGCACCGGCUAACUACGUGCCAGCCGCCGCCGUAA
RNAcentral lists this ribosomal RNA (504 nucleotides) under uncultured bacterium. Its description in RNAcentral is "partial 16S ribosomal RNA". It matches the Rfam family "Bacterial small subunit ribosomal RNA", at positions 30 to 523 of the family's 1533-position model. The record is from RNAcentral.